GGGGUUGUGGCUCAGUGGUAUAGCACCCACCUAGCACAUGUGAGGUCCUGAGUUCAAUCCUCAGCACCA
RNAcentral lists this transfer RNA (69 nucleotides) under Ictidomys tridecemlineatus (thirteen-lined ground squirrel). RNAcentral's name for it is "Spermophilus tridecemlineatus (thirteen-lined ground squirrel) tRNA". It matches the Rfam family "tRNA". From Rfam's summary of the family: Transfer RNA (tRNA) molecules are approximately 80 nucleotides in length. Their secondary structure includes four short double-helical elements and three loops (D, anti-codon, and T loops). Lineage: Eukaryota; Metazoa; Chordata; Mammalia; Rodentia; Sciuridae. The record is from Rfam by way of RNAcentral.